GCAGCAGCCGCGGUAAUACGGAGGGGGCUAGCGUUGUUCGGAUUUACUGGGCGUAAAGGGCGCGUAGGCGGGCUGAUAAGUCAGGGGUGAAAUCCCAAGGCUCAACCUUGGAACUGCCUUUGAUACUAUUUGUCUUGAGUUCGAGAGAGGUAAGUGGAACUGCGAGUGUAGAGGUGAAAUUCGUAGAUAUUCGCAAGAACACCAGUGGCGAAGGCGGCUUACAGGCUCGAAACUGACGCUGAGGCGCGAAAGCGUGGGGAGCAAACAGGAUUAGAUACCCGUGUAGUCCCUGUCUCUUAUAC
This 302-nucleotide ribosomal RNA is filed under the name uncultured bacterium. RNAcentral describes it as "partial 16S ribosomal RNA". It matches the Rfam family "Bacterial small subunit ribosomal RNA", at positions 508 to 807 of the family's 1533-position model. The record is from RNAcentral.